Molecule: long non-coding RNA, 300 nt
Organism: Olea europaea var. sylvestris
Lineage: Eukaryota; Viridiplantae; Streptophyta; Magnoliopsida; Lamiales; Oleaceae
Exons: 2
Source: RefSeq, a predicted model, not a curated record
UGAGUAAUUUCUCGAAGCAAACAAUCCUUUCUCUGUCCUUAGCAUCAAAUCCAGUACACCAGCACCAUUCACCCAGCGCACCAUCCAUCACAACAGGGAAAACUGGAGUGAAAGGGCAAAUCUGUAUGAAAUAGAGGCAGCAAAAUGAGUAAGCUAAACUCGGAAUUGGAUUUGGAUCGACCUAAUAUUGAAGACUAUCUCCCUUCUGGAUCCAUCCAAGAGCCUCGCGGCAAACUACGCCUGCGUGAUUUGCUCGACAUUUCGCCCACUCUAACUGAGGCAGCUGGUGCCAUUGUCGAU